GACGAACGCUGGCGGCGUGCCUAAUACAUGCAAGUAGAACGCUGAAGAGAGGAGCUUGCUCUUCUUGGAUGAGUUGCGAACGGGUGAGUAACGCGUAGGUAACCUGCCUUGUAGCGGGGGAUAACUAUUGGAAACGAUAGCUAAUACCGCAUAACAAUGGAUGACACAUGUCAUUUAUUUGAAAGGGGCAAUUGCUCCACUACAAGAUGGACCUGCGUUGUAUUAGCUAGUAGGUGAGGUAACGGCUCACCUAGGCGACGAUACAUAGCCGACCUGAGAGGGUGAUCGGCCACACUGGGACUGAGACACGGCCCAGACUCCUACGGGAGGCAGCAGUAGGGAAUCUUCGGCAAUGGGGGCAACCCUGACCGAGCAACGCCGCGUGAGUGAAGAAGGUUUUCGGAUCGUAAAGCUCUGUUGUAAGUCAAGAACGAGUGUGAGAGUGGAAAGUUCACACUGUGACGGUAGCUUACCAGAAAGGGACGGCUAACUACGUGCCAGCAGCCGCGGUAAUACGUAGGUCCCGAGCGUUGUCCGGAUUUAUUGGGCGUAAAGCGAGCGCAGGCGGUUUGAUAAGUCUGAAGUUAAAGGCUGUGGCUCAACCAUAGUUCGCUUUGGAAACUGUCAAACUUGAGUGCAGAAGGGGAGAGUGGAAUUCCAUGUGUAGCGGUGAAAUGCGUAGAUAUAUGGAGGAACACCGGUGGCGAAAGCGGCUCUCUGGUCUGUAACUGACGCUGAGGCUCGAAAGCGUGGGGAGCGAACAGGAUUAGAUACCCUGGUAGUCCACGCCGUAAACGAUGAGUGCUAGGUGUUGGAUCCUUUCCGGGAUUCAGUGCCGCAGCUAACGCAUUAAGCACUCCGCCUGGGGAGUACGACCGCAAGGUUGAAACUCAAAGGAAUUGACGGGGGCCCGCACAAGCGGUGGAGCAUGUGGUUUAAUUCGAAGCAACGCGAAGAACCUUACCAGGUCUUGACAUCCCGAUGCUAUUUCUAGAGAUAGAAAGUUACUUCGGUACAUCGGCGACAGGUGGUGCAUGGUUGUCGUCAGCUCGUGUCGUGAGAUGUUGGGUUAAGUCCCGCAACGAGCGCAACCCCUAUUGUUAGUUGCCAUCAUUCAGUUGGGCACUCUAGCGAGACUGCCGGUAAUAAACCGGAGGAAGGUGGGGAUGACGUCAAAUCAUCAUGCCCCUUAUGACCUGGGCUACACACGUGCUACAAUGGUUGGUACAACGAGUUGCGAGUCGGUGACGGCAAGCUAAUCUCUUAAAGCCAAUCUCAGUUCGGAUUGUAGGCUGCAACUCGCCUACAUGAAGUCGGAAUCGCUAGUAAUCGCGGAUCAGCACGCCGCGGUGAAUACGUUCCCGGGCCU
Molecule: ribosomal RNA, 1369 nt
Filed under: uncultured bacterium
Lineage: Bacteria
Description: bacterial SSU rRNA
Rfam family: Bacterial small subunit ribosomal RNA
Source: RNAcentral